GGGGCUGAUUCUGGAUUCGACGGGAUUUGCGAAACCCAAGGUGCAUGCCGAGGGGCGGUUUGCCUCGUUAAAAGCCGCAAAAAAAUAGUCGCAAACGACGAAAACUACGCUUUAGCAGCUUAAUAACCUGCUCUGAGCCCUCUCUCCCUAGCUUCCGCUCUUAAGACGGGGAUCAAAGCGCCAGCUCCACCAAAUAUUGAUGUACUGAAGUUCAGUAAAGUCUACUAAGCCCGCACAGCACAAGCUCUGCGGGCUUUUUUACGUCUAUUGUAGUCUAGUGAGAAUUGCUGAGAACUUCGAGUUAUGGCACCCUGAAUGGGACCCACGA
RNAcentral lists this transfer-messenger RNA (328 nucleotides) under Enterobacter roggenkampii. It matches the Rfam family "transfer-messenger RNA", at positions 1 to 301 of the family's 374-position model. Rfam says of the family: Bacterial tmRNA, also known as 10Sa RNA or SsrA, is named for its dual tRNA and mRNA-like properties. Its role is to liberate the mRNA from a stalled ribosome. The record is from RNAcentral. Lineage: Bacteria; Pseudomonadati; Pseudomonadota; Gammaproteobacteria; Enterobacterales; Enterobacteriaceae.